RNAcentral lists this ribosomal RNA (253 nucleotides) under uncultured bacterium. RNAcentral describes it as "partial 16S ribosomal RNA". It matches the Rfam family "Bacterial small subunit ribosomal RNA", at positions 524 to 776 of the family's 1533-position model. The record is from RNAcentral.
UACGUAGGGCCCAAGCGUUGUUCGGAUUUACUGGGCGUAAAGGGCGCGUAGGCGGCGCGGUACGUCACUUGUGAAAUCUCUGAGCUUAACUCAGAACGGCCAAGUGAUACUGCAGUGCUAGAGUGUGGAAGGGGCAAUCGGAAUUCUUGGUGUAGCGGUGAAAUGCGUAGAUAUCAAGAGGAACACCUGAGGUGAAGACGGGUUGCUGGGCCAACACUGACGCUGAGGCACGAAAGCCAGGGGAGCAAACGGG